This is a long non-coding RNA of Betta splendens (Siamese fighting fish), 1930 nucleotides long. Lineage: Eukaryota; Metazoa; Chordata; Actinopteri; Anabantiformes; Osphronemidae. The record is from Ensembl.
UGCAAUGUUGGUCUUUAUCAUUUUGGACAGAACUGGAAUACAUAGUUUAAUUUCAUUUAUAGUCUGUUGGUUGUUUUAAUCUGUUUGGUCUUGAUUAAAAUACAAAGUUAUAAUGUGAGUUAUUAAACCUGCAAUAUUUAUCAUCUUCACACUUGUUUUUUUUAUUUACAACAGAUUGUUUUCAUCAGAUACAAGCACAAGGUCAGUCUGUGAUGUCCUAUGUUCACAUCUGUCACAUUUGUCUGAUUAUUUUACUUUGUAGCUUCACUUCUUUCAUAUACGUUAAAACACAAUUUCUCCUUUUUCACAGCUCUUCCUUCAGCUAAUCUAAUAGCGAAUAAACACACAAUCACAGAGUCAGACUCAGUUACGCUGCUUUGUCAGACUCCGUCAUCUAUUGUUGUGGAUCAGUGUUAUUUCUAUACUGAUCAAGGACAAACUCCUAAAAUCUUCCCCUGCCUGCAGACACUGACAGGAACUGAUCUACUGUCUAUGUCACGGCAGCGUCCACCUGCUAAUGUUAAAGUCAAGUGUUUUUAUACUGUAGAGUAUGAAGACACACAUUCUCCGUCUCCACACAGUGAUUCAGUCUCCAUCGCUGUACACAGUAAGCAGCUGCCUUUAGAUUUGAUAUGAUUGAUUGUUCCCCUUGAAUCACAGUAAAAACAAUUUGAGUAGUGACAAUCUGACCUGAAUAAUUUAAGCAUAAUGUGCUUGAUACCAGAAUUUCAAAUAUAUUAAUUGUCUUUAUUUUUUGAAGGUCUAAAGCCACAGAUGAGCUGUUCUGAUUUGGGUGACUACUUUGUCUACACUUGCUUUUUGCCUGAAUCUGUUGAACAUGGUACAAAAUGUAACUUGUACAUUGGAGAAGCACAUCAUCCAGUCUCAACAACAACCACCAUGAAGAAAACCACCUCAAAAAAACAGCAGUUGUGUCAGUUUUAUAUCACGAGAGACGAUUUGCUGAAACACUUACAAUUAGUUCAGCUAAAGGAGGCCAGCUGUGAUUACAGCCUGGAACAUGAACCCAACUUUGCUUCUGCUCCUAGUGAUGGAUGCAGCUUGACUGAUUCAUUUUCUGGUAUAAAAACACAAGGUGGGUGUGAGUUUAAUAAUGGUUUUGUUAUUAAUCAUAUGAUCCAACAUAAUUUUACCAUUAACAUUUCAGGUCUGGUUCCACCUGAGCUGACAGUGACUCCACUGGUGAUCACAGAGUCAGACUCAGUCACUGUGAACUGUCAGACUCCAUCAUCUGUUCCUGUGUCUCAGUGUCACUUCACUGUGACGGGACAUUUACGUCUUGGAGACUCGUCUUGUCUUCAGACAGUGACAGGAGCUGAUCUGUUGCACAUGACAGGUCAGAGGUCACCUGCUGAGGUCAAACUUACAUGUUAUUACACUGUGAAGCUUGGAGAGAGAGAGUCUACAUCCACAGACAGUCAAACAUCAUCCAUCACCAUAAACUGUGAGUGAAUGUAUUACUGUGGAUGAUGAUGAUGAUUGUUAUAAUUGUUUUUGUCAUUUUAAGUCAUUUAAUGCUAUUCUUUAUUCCCUAUUUUCAGCUCUUCACCAGCCUGAGCUGACAGUGACUCCACUGGUGAUCACAGAGUCAGACUCAGUCACUGUGAACUGUCAGACUCCAUCAUCUGUUCCUGUCUAUCAGUGUUGGCUCUACUCAGUGAGGGAUCAAACCUCCAGAGUCGUCUCUUGUCAUCAGACACUGACAGGAACUGAGCUGAUGAAAAUGACUCAAAGUUCACCUGUUGAGAUUGAAGUUACAUGUUAUUACAGUGUAGAGCGAAGAGGAACUAUAUCUCUGUCUCAAUUCAGUAACUCUAUCAUCAUACAGAGUAAGUAGCUACUGGGAUACGUUUUAUUACAGCUUAUUACAAUAUUAACUAGUAUCAAAUUCGUACCAUCACCUGCUUCA